AAGAGAACUUGAGAAAAGAAUUCCAACAACAAUUGGAGGAACAGUCACUAGACACAGAGAGAAAAUUGCAGAAACAAUUCCUUCAGUUCAAAGAAUUAUUGGGCAAAUCCCAAUAUGAUACGAUUCAGCCACCUAUGAUGUCCUCAGAAAAUGUCCCUGCCUUAGGUGCUGAGGAUAAGGACUUAGCUGAAACUUGGGGGGAAGCUGUUCACGAUCCGAAAGGAAAGGCCCAAAAUAUUCGGAGACAUAAUGGGGCCAAAAGCUCUAAACUGGAUGCUAGAAAGACGUCUCAAGAAUUGAACAGUACAUCUAUCCCGGCCUCUCUUAAAGCGCCCGCCCAAGU
Papaver somniferum (opium poppy) is the source of this 343-nucleotide long non-coding RNA. RefSeq lists it as uncharacterized. NCBI's taxonomy places the organism in Eukaryota, Viridiplantae, Streptophyta, Magnoliopsida, Ranunculales, Papaveraceae. The transcript has 3 exons. The record is from RefSeq and is a predicted model, not a curated record.